AAAUGUUAUGUAUUAAAAAACUUUUAACCAAAUUCAAUUUCAAGCUAAAAAUAUGAUUGCCCAUGAUUAUCUAGAAUAUUCUUAAAUUACACCCAAAACUUUAAGAUAUAAGUAAACUAGAUUUGAGAUAACAGUAAGUUGGUGAAGGCUGUGGUGUAAUGUGUGUGUGUUUAUGCUACUUAUCUUGACACAGUGAAGGUACCUGUCUAGGAGAACAUGGAUGCGAGUGUACGCUCAAUGGUCCGAGUGCCACGCACUAACCCCCAAAGCAAAGCAAGUCUAUUUUCAAGAUUAUUUUUAUUGUGGAUUAUUGACAUUAUUCGCCAGGGGAACAAAGAUGAUUUUGAACAGGAUGAUAUUCCAGAAGCUAUGCCCAAUUAUAAAUCUGAAAUUCUCUCCGCUGGUCUCCAAAGGCAGUGGGAGAUUGAAAAAGAAAGAGCUAGAAGGAAUAGAGAAAUUCCAAGUUUUAUAAGAGCAAUCAUAGCAGAAUUUGGUAUCGGAUUUCUUGCAAUGAGUAUUUUACAAAUUCUCAAAGAUAUAAUUUUUGUAGUGUUGAACCCCUAUUUGCUGGGACGUCUGUUAGAAUACUUCACACCAACUAGUACAAUGUCCUACUCUGAAGCAUUGCUGAUAGGACUGAUCCUCUGUAUUACCAAUUGUCUUGUUGGUCUCCUCUAUGUCCACUUUAUGAAUCUUGCUGUACUCUUCGCAGUUCGGGUCCGUGCAUCUUGUAUAGCUGUGGUGUAUCAUAAGUGUUUACGGCUCAGUCAGUCUGCACUCGGAAGCACCUCAUCUGGUCAGAUCAUCAACCUUGUGUCCAAUGAUGUUGCCCGAUUUGAAUUUGUGUCAUUCAUGCUAAUGCCAAUGAUCAGUGCACCUUUUAUGUCAAUUAUUCUGACAUACUUCAUUUAUAAAGUUGGAGGACUAGCCAGCUUAGUCGGUGUUGGAGUACUUCUUAUUAUCUUGAUAAUUCAAUUUAUCAAUGCCAAUAUGACUGCAAAUUAUCGGAUCCAAGUUGCCAGACAGACAGAUGAACGAGUCAGAUUGAUGGAUGAAAUCGUGCUUGGCAUUCAAGUGAUCAAGUUGUAUGCGUGGGAGAAACCUUUUCAGAUCUUCAUUGACUACACAAGGAAGUUGGAGUUGAAUAUUCUUCGUAAAGUAUCUUAUCUAAGGGCAGCCUUCAUGUUCUUCGUAGUAUUCUCUUCCAGACUGACGAUAUUCUGUGUUCUCCUCACAUUUGUUCUGUGUGGUUUACAACUGGAGGCUGUAUCUAUAUUUGUACUGAUGGUAUACUUUUCUCAGUUGGCUGGUUCUAUUACAGCUCUUGUAACAAGAGGAUUUGCAGAGAUAGCUGAAUGUAUGGUUUCUAUUAGAAGAAUCCAGGCAUUCUUGUUACAAGAGGAUUAUGUUCCAUUGAGUAACAGUGACAAAGAAAUGAAGACAAGUGGUGUGGAAGUGGAGGGGGAGCAGGCAGUGCUGCUGACAGGUGUCAGUGCCAAGUGGACAUCUGCAGGUAGUAUGACAUUGACAGAUCUCAAUGUUGAUAUCCGAGCUGGUCAGCUUGUGGCUGUCAUUGGUACAGUUGGUAGCGGCAAGAGUUCUCUGUUGAAUCUGUUUCUUGGAGAGCUGACAAAAACCGAAGGGAAGAUGAAUAUAAACAGAACUAUUUCUUAUGCAGCACAGGAGCCUUGGAUAUUUAGUAGUUCUGUGCGUCAGAAUAUACUCUUCAGGGAGGAUUACAAUUCUACUAGGUACAAAGCUGUUUGUAAAGUUUGUGAACUGGAAAAGGAUUUUGAGUUGAUGCCUCGAGGAGACAAGACUCUGGUAGGAGAGAAAGGAGCUGCACUUUCCGGGGGUCAGAAGGCAAGAAUCAACUUGGCCAGGGCUAUAUACAAAAAAGCAGACAUAUAUCUUUUGGAUGAUCCUCUAUCUGCUGUUGACUCUCAUGUGGGGAAACUCAUUUUCUACAAUUGUAUAGAAGAGUUUCUUGGGGACAAAACCAGAAUUCUAGUUACCCACCAAGUGCAGCACCUUUCUAAAGUGAAUCAUUUAAUUCUAAUGGAGAAUGGCAGAAUUUUGAUGCAAGGAACAUUCAAGGAGCUAAGACGUAGCCAUUACAACUUUGCAUCAGUUUUGGCAACUCCAGAAUAUGAGAAAAGUCAGUUUAAAUUUUUGAGUACAGAACCUAUCCUUCAACGCAACACUCAGCGCAAAUCUACUAGGAGUGAGAAGUCUUUGAGCAUGGCGGGUGAUGAGUUGAUAGAAUUUGAGGAAUUUGAGAAUGAACGGGAAGCAGAGCAGAUGUCAAAAAAGCCGUCUCUGGAAGUGUAUCGAGAGUACCUGGGUGCGGGAGUGAGUUCACUCUACUGUUUUGCAGUGGUUGCACUGUUUGUUGUCACACAGAUCCUCAUCAGCAGCUAUGACUACUGGAUAGCUUACUGGCUACACCAGGAGCAGGAUCGUCUUUACCAGCAUUCAAACACAUCUCUCUGGCCUACCACCACCUAUCUGGCCGUCUUAGCAGUCCUUCUCGCAGGGAUUUUUGUCAUCGCUAAUGUGAGAGGUGUAGCCUACUACACUGCCUGCAUUCGCUGUUCCCGAGGCAUCCACAGUCAGAUGUUCCAAGCUGUUAUUGGCACAUCCCUGAGCUUCUUCCACAACAACUCUUCUGGAAGAAUUUUGAAUCGUUUCUCCCGAGAUCUUGCAGUGACCGAUGAACUGCUUGCCAAGGCUGUAAUGGACAUGGGACAAGCAUUUGGACAAGUAAUUGGUGGUCUGGCCAUUGCUGUAGCCAUAAACUACUGGCUGACACUGCCCAUUAUAGUGCUCAGUGGUAUACUACUGGCUGCUCGUCACUUCUGUCUCAAGGCAUCCACCAAUCUCAAGAGGAUUGAAGCGAUUGCUCGGAGUCCUGUGUAUGCUCACAUCAAUGCCUCACUGCAGGGUCUUGUUACCAUCAGAGCACACUCAGCUGAGAAACUGCUGGAACAAGAGCAGUAUCGCUAUCUGGAUUCACAUACAAGUGUGACCCAUAUCUUCUACUACGUAAUGGCGUUUCUAUCAUUGGCUCAAGAAAUCAUCAUAAAUAUCUACGUGGCAAUUUGUGUUUUCUCCUUUAUUCUUUUCAAAACAGAUUCGUGGGGUACUGAUGCCGGCCUGAUUAUAACCCAAUCUCUUACUAUCAUGAACUUCCUACAGUGGGGGAUGAAGAUGUCAGCUGAGGUUGCUAAUCAGAUGACUUGUAUAGAACGCUCCGUGGAGUACAUGCAUUUGGAGUCAGAAGAAACUGACGGAGAUGAAACAUUAACUCCUGAUCCCAGCUGGCCUCAAUUUGGAAUGAUCGAGAUGAAAAAAGUAUUCAUGAGAUAUGAUAUCAGUGAACCAUAUGUCUUGCGCAAUCUUAACUUUUUGGUUCUACCACAGGAAAAGGUGGGUAUUGUUGGUCGUACUGGUGCCGGAAAGUCAUCUCUGAUCGCCGCUCUGUUCCGCCUGGCACCACUUGAAGGCUCUGUGAUCAUUGAUGCUGUGGACACCAAUACAAUUUCCUUGGAGGCUCUACGCUCCCACAUCUCAAUUAUCCCACAGGAUCCUGUAUUAUUCUCUGGAACACUCCGCACUAACUUAGAUCCCUUCCACAGAUAUUCAGAUCCAGAGCUGUACACCGUCCUGCAUGAGAACUGAUGCACUGAUCCAAAGCACGAUUCGCCACAGAUUUGCUCAUUGUACUGUGCUAACUGUAGCUCACAGACUGAACACUAUCAUCGACUCCAACAGAGUCCUUGUCAUGGAUGCCGGCUCUGUUGUUGAAUUUGACCACCCCC
Molecule: unclassified non-coding RNA, 3821 nt
Filed under: Homalodisca vitripennis (glassy-winged sharpshooter)
Lineage: Eukaryota; Metazoa; Arthropoda; Insecta; Hemiptera; Cicadellidae
Description: aTP-binding cassette sub-family C member 4-like, transcript variant X1
Source: RNAcentral